Molecule: long non-coding RNA, 781 nt
Organism: Balaenoptera ricei (Rice's whale)
Lineage: Eukaryota; Metazoa; Chordata; Mammalia; Artiodactyla; Balaenopteridae
Exons: 3
Source: RefSeq, a predicted model, not a curated record
ACCUGGGCUCGCGGGCAACUUGUUGUGCGCAGUUCUCAAUGGAGCCCUGGACCCACGGGGCUCCGGGCCCGCCCGCUUUUUCCUUUUUGCUUUGCUUUUUCUCUCUUUUUUCAGUGUGUGAACUUGAAGCCGAAAGCAGAUAGGCGCUUCGCAUACUUUGGUGGUGGCCCACGAAUUGAAUUUGUCCCAUUAGUGAAGAUGUCCACUUUGACCACUCAAUCAACUGAUUACAGGAGUGUCCUCCAAUUUUCUCCAUUCUUGUGACACAGCCGUCGGAGGGAGAGUCGAAGUCCAGAGCAUCUGUGAGCGUCAGCCGGGCCCUCGGUGAAUAGUGAGCACUUUAUGGUCCUGACUGGGUCCCUCUGCCCGUUCAGUUCUGGAAACCAUGGGGCCCAUUUCGGUAUCUCCUCUGAAGACUAUAGAGGCUUUUACGGCGACUCUUUCGUGCACGGGCCUCAUGCCUUUCUCCUCUUCUCCUUCCUCCUCAUUCUCCGCUGUUUAGUCUUUCUCAUCUAUUUGUUUUAUUUUCUUUUGCUCUGUUGGUUGGGUGUAUAUUUGUAAGCUGUGUGAAAUCCCUUUUGGCAUAAAAUCAGGAGAACAUGAGUAACUAUAAUGAAACAAAUAGAUACAUUAUUAUGUAGCACCUGGCACACACUUUACCUAAUUCCUGUACCGUGAGGCCAGGGACAUGACUGUUUUUUAUCCUCCCAUCUUCCCCUGGCUACAAUGCCUUGCAAAAUCGUACCAAAGACUUAAUAAACGUCUGGUAAAUUGUAGAGAA